GCUGAUAAAUAGACUGGUAAAUUGCUUGGAAUACCCAAAAACUUGGUUGGAAGAGACACGCAGCAUGCUGAUGAUUGUGGCAACCAUGAUAUCGACUACAACUUUCCAAGCUGCAGUUAACCCACCUGGUGGUGUUUGGCAAGAGAAUAAUACAAAUAGUAGCGCUAGAGGCACUACUUAUUGCACCCAAAAUAACAUAUGCUUGGCUGGAACUUCAGUGGCAGGCAGCGCCUUCCCCAAAGAAUUCCUCGCGUUCGUAACAUUCAAUACCAUCUCGUUUCUUGCUUCUCUCAGUGUCAACCUUUUGCUUGUUGGCUGAUUUCCCCUCCGGAAUCGCGUAAUUAUGUGGCUUUUAUCAAUGGCCAUGUGUCUCACUCUCACUUCUAUGGCGUUCACCUUUUUACUGGCUUCCCUGUUGGUGGUUCCAAAUACUGACAUCCUCGUUUCACAAGGAGUUAGAUCCCGUAAAUCCGCUGUGUUGGUUUGGAUUGCGUUGCUUCUAACCAUCGCUUUAAUCCACACCAUUCGCCUAAUCAUUUGGUUGUCAAGGAAGUUGUGGGGCAGGUUCAAGCAUAAGAUCCCAAAAAGCCUCAGGAAAGUGGUUGAUAGUUUGGUGGAUAGUUCGAGAGCACGUCACCGUACCAACAAAUUCUGAGGAGAAUAUACGCCUGUUGUUUCCUUGUGUGUUGAAGGAACUACACCGGAUUGCUAAAGUAAACUAUCUAUUUGACGAUGGUGAAUGUGUUUAACAAGAUCCAGCUGGUUGUGUUUGCCUUAAUUUGCUUUAAUUUGCUAAAGUAAACUAUCUAUUUGACGAUGGUGAGUUGUGUUUGCCUUAAUUUGCUUCUGUUAGAAUUUGUUAAGAGUGAGUCAGAAUGAUCAGUUUGUUUACUAAUCUGAAAUCUAUUUUUAUUUCCUC
This 919-nucleotide long non-coding RNA is filed under the name Prunus persica (peach). Its description in RNAcentral is "long non-coding RNA (PPER_LNC003681)". The record is from RNAcentral. Lineage: Eukaryota; Viridiplantae; Streptophyta; Magnoliopsida; Rosales; Rosaceae.